Non-coding RNA from Podarcis lilfordi (Lilford's wall lizard), 115 nucleotides. The record is from the annotation of a GenBank genome assembly. NCBI's taxonomy places the organism in Eukaryota, Metazoa, Chordata, Lepidosauria, Squamata, Lacertidae.
ACACACGCAUACACACACACACACACUAGAUAUAUAUGUAUAUAUAUAUAUAUAUCACUAUAUAUAUGUGUGUGUGUAUAUAUAUAUAUAUGUAUGUGUGUGUGUGUGUGUGUAU